AACGAGUUCUCGUUGAUGAUCGGUGCUUGCACCGAGAUUCAACAUGAAACGAGUGGCGGACGGGUGAGUAACACGUGGGUAACCUGCCCUUAAGUGGGGGAUAACAUUUGGAAACAGAUGCUAAUACCGCAUAGAUCCAAGAACCGCAUGGUUCUUGGCUGAAAGAUGGCGUAAGCUAUCGCUUUUGGAUGGACCCGCGGCGUAUUAGCUAGUUGGUGAGGUAAUGGCUCACCAAGGCGAUGAUACGUAGCCGAACUGAGAGGUUGAUCGGCCACAUUGGGACUGAGACACGGCCCAAACUCCUACGGGAGGCAGCAGUAGGGAAUCUUCCACAAUGGACGCAAGUCUGAUGGAGCAACGCCGCGUGAGUGAAGAAGGCUUUCGGGUCGUAAAACUCUGUUGUUGGAGAAGAAUGGUCGGCAGAGUAACUGUUGUCGGCGUGACGGUAUCCAACCAGAAAGCCACGGCUAACUACGUGCCAGCAGCCGCGGUAAUACGUAGGUGGCAAGCGUUAUCCGGAUUUAUUGGGCGUAAAGCGAGCGCAGGCGGUUUUUUAAGUCUGAUGUGAAAGCCCUCGGCUUAACCGAGGAAGCGCAUCGGAAACUGGGAAACUUGAGUGCAGAAGAGGACAGUGGAACUCCAUGUGUAGCGGUGAAAUGCGUAGAUAUAUGGAAGAACACCAGUGGCGAAGGCGGCUGUCUGGUCUGUAACUGACGCUGAGGCUCGAAAGCAUGGGUAGCGAACAGGAUUAGAUACCCUGGUAGUCCAUGCCGUAAACGAUGAAUGCUAGGUGUUGGAGGGUUUCCGCCCUUCAGUGCCGCAGCUAACGCAUUAAGCAUUCCGCCUGGGGAGUACGACCGCAAGGUUGAAACUCAAAGGAAUUGACGGGGGCCCGCACAAGCGGUGGAGCAUGUGGUUUAAUUCGAAGCAACGCGAAGAACCUUACCAGGUCUUGACAUCUUUUGAUCACCUGAGAGAUCAGGUUUCCCCUUCGGGGGCAAAAUGACAGGUGGUGCAUGGUUGUCGUCAGCUCGUGUCGUGAGAUGUUGGGUUAAGUCCCGCAACGAGCGCAACCCUUAUGACUAGUUGCCAGCAUUUAGUUGGGCACUCUAGUAAGACUGCCGGUGACAAACCGGAGGAAGGUGGGGAUGACGUCAAAUCAUCAUGCCCCUUAUGACCUG
This 1181-nucleotide ribosomal RNA is filed under the name Lacticaseibacillus paracasei. RNAcentral describes it as "bacterial SSU rRNA". It matches the Rfam family "Bacterial small subunit ribosomal RNA", at positions 65 to 1211 of the family's 1533-position model. Lineage: Bacteria; Bacillati; Bacillota; Bacilli; Lactobacillales; Lactobacillaceae. The record is from RNAcentral.